Molecule: ribosomal RNA, 381 nt
Filed under: uncultured marine Chaetocerotaceae
Lineage: Eukaryota; Bacillariophyta; Thalassiosirophyceae; Chaetocerotales; Chaetocerotaceae
Description: SSU rRNA
Rfam family: Eukaryotic small subunit ribosomal RNA
Source: RNAcentral
AGCUCCAAUAGCGUAUAUUAAAGUUGCUGCAGUUAAAAAGCUCGUAGUUGCAUUUCCGAGGCAAGGGAUUAGUCCGACCUUUGGUGGGUAUUUAAUCCUCUUGCCUCGUCCUUGAGUGGUGCUUCUUGGUAUUAAGUUAUCGAGGAGAUAGCCGCUCAUCGUUUACUGUGAGAAAAUUAGAGUGUUCAAAGCAGGCUUAUGCCGUUGAAUAUAUUAGCAUGGAAUAAUAAGAUAGGACCUCGGUACUAUUUUGGUGGUUUUAGAACCAAGGUAAUGAUGAAUAGGGACAGUUGGGGGUAUUCGUAUUCAGUUGUCAGAGGUGAAAUUCUUAGAUUUACGGAAGACGAACUACUGCGAAAGCAUUUACCAAGGAUGUUUUCA